GUGCCAAUUUUCUUUUAUAAUUUUUAAACUAUAAUUCGUAGUUAUAUACUUACAAUGGGAAAAAUUUAGCAUAAUUAGUACUCUAUUUAAAUUGACCUCUCCGAAGAAAAUCGAAAUCGCAUUAAUCCCGUGCCGAGAGGUUAUAUUUAAUAAAAAUUAGGGAGUCACGUCGAUAUUUAGAUCCCCGUCGCGAAUGUAGUUCAUUCUACGACGGUGGCGCCACGUUAUUUCCAGGUUCCAUUGCGAUCACGUUUCGUCUUGGGUGAAGUUUAGUAAAUUUUUCAUUUACGUUCAUCGGUCCAUUUAUAUUGUUUUUAAUUGUUUAUUUUAUUGAUUUCGAAGACAUUCUUCCACCUCGUGGAAUUGGGAUCUUCGUGGGAUCAUUUUACCCUCUUUUAUCGUUUAAUUUAUCUUGAUUUCAGGUUACCUUCAGUUCGACAUCGGUAUGGGGCCACCGAAGAAGUUGAAGGGGGCGGCUCUGAGUUCCCCCGUAAUGCUAAAAUUCUUAGACUAGAAUGGAGCAUUCGGUUUAUUGGUUUAUUAGCCCCCUAACCUAAGCUAACUAACUAACAUCCAAACACUAUCUUUCCUCGAACGAGCGGAGAAAGCGGAACUAUCAGCGGAAAUGACCUAAACAAAACACCCUAUCCGAAAAAUGAGCUGAAAGGGAACUAUGUUGUUGUUAGGGAAGUAUUAUACACUACGUGUACACCCCUCAACGCAGUACGCCGUGGUACACGUCAGGGAAUACUCCCCAAUGGAAGUUGCGCAAAAAAGCACUACUUCCUAAGAAAAUAGGAACCGCCGCAACGUUCAAAUGAACCUACGCGGUUGAAAUGUGGUAUUAUUUGAACGGUUAUAUUGGGCAUGCGCCGAUACAGAAGAUGUAUUUUUUUCAAAUGGCGCCAUCUAUACAACUGUCACGGGAACUGUCAAAAAAUCUGGGACAUUACUAUUUUAUGUAAAAAACACCAUUUUUAAGGAAAUUUAACGUGUUUUAUCGUUGUUAUGAAAAUGUCAUCGUAAACAAACCUACAUUUGCACAAUUUCGAGUAAUCGACUUGAUGUCGACCAAAAAUUCAUGCCGAUGUGCAUGUUGCUACGUAGCAUAAAGACAUUUACGAUAGAAAUGGUAUGAAAAUUUAUUAUUGAUGUAACAAAUUAUCCGUGUUCUUCAAGAAGAAGUCCUAUAGGAGGUUAUUCAUCAGUUUAUAUUCCGGUUAGAGCAAAAAGUAUGUCCAAGAUUCUAGCGGAAACGAAAGCAUUUCGUCACAUGAAAUAUUCAUGCUUAGGAAGGUAGCGAAGGAUUAGUUUUAGUUCGUUACCUUCCACUUUUAUUUCUACAUGUCCACAUAGUCUACUAGUAUUAAAGCGACCACCUAUUACCACUUGGUCCAAACAGCGAACUACGAUAUCAUUAUAAAAAGGUAUAAAAGCUCGUACCUACUUCAAAUAUACUUAUUACCAUUGAAGGACACGAUACUGUAAUAUACAGCACCUUAAGUUAUCCAAUACUUGCUUGAGGAUGAAGUCCAUUUGUAAAGAAUCUCCUAUGGAAAGGCACGUGAAUUACUACCUACGAAACACUAUAGGUUCCAACAAAAUUGUAAAAACUUCUUUGUCUUAAAAUUUUUAUGCUUUCCUGUACAUAUUAUAAGGAUUGUGUUAGAUAUCGUGAACAAUUUUAAAAAUCAUCAUAUUUCCAUGCCUAAUACAUUCAUAAACAACAAAUAAAAUAAGGAAUACUACACAAACUCCUCACGACCACUCAAAAUGAUCCAAUUAUUUUCAUGGAUUUCUAUUAUAGCAUGUAAACUCUGUACGUGGAGAAAUCGUAAAGAAAAUUCUCCCGAUGAGGAUGAACCUGUUCUACAGGAGGCUAAAACAACCCCGAGUGUACAAACAGGCUGAGUAGAAAAAUCACUUUGUAUAGGUGUUGUUUCCACAAAAAAAAAACAAAAAUAUUACUCACAAAUUCAAAA
Long non-coding RNA from Photinus pyralis (common eastern firefly), 1982 nucleotides. RefSeq lists it as uncharacterized. NCBI's taxonomy places the organism in Eukaryota, Metazoa, Arthropoda, Insecta, Coleoptera, Lampyridae. The transcript is spliced from 4 exons. The record is from RefSeq and is a predicted model, not a curated record.